RNAcentral lists this ribosomal RNA (253 nucleotides) under uncultured bacterium. Its description in RNAcentral is "partial 16S ribosomal RNA". It matches the Rfam family "Bacterial small subunit ribosomal RNA", at positions 524 to 776 of the family's 1533-position model. The record is from RNAcentral.
UACGUAGGGGGCGAGCGUUGGCCGGAGUUACUGGGCGUAAAGCGCACGCAGGCGGUCUGCUAAGUUUGGAGUGACAGUUGGUGGCUUAACUGCCAAAGUGCUUCGAAAACUGACAGACUUGAGGGCUUCAGAGGGACACGGAAUUCCGGGUGGAGUGGUGAAAUGCGUAGAGAUCCGGAGGAACACCAAAGGCGAAGGCAGUGUCCUGGGGAGUACCUGACGCUCAGGUGCGAAAGCCAGGGGAGCGAACGGG